GAUGAACGCUAGCUACAGGCUUAACACAUGCAAGUCGAGGGGAAACGAUAUUGGAAGCUUGCUUCCGAUAGGCGUCGACCGGCGCACGGGUGAGUAACGCGUAUCCAACCUGCCCAUCACUUGGGGAUAACCUUGCGAAAGUAAGACUAAUACCCAAUGACGUCUCUAGAAGACAUCUGAAAGAGAUUAAAGAUUUAUCGGUGAUGGAUGGGGAUGCGUCUGAUUAGCUUGUUGGCGGGGUAACGGCCCACCAAGGCGACGAUCAGUAGGGGUUCUGAGAGGAAGUUCCCCCACAUUGGAGCUGAGACACGGUCCAAACUCCUACGGGAGGCAGCAGUGAGGAAUAUUGGUCAAUGGGCGAGAGCCUGAACCAGCCAAGUAGCGUGCAGGAUGACGGCCCUAUGGGUUGUAAACUGCUUUUAUAAGGGAAUAAAGUGAGCCACGUGUGGCUUUUUGCAUGUACCUUAUGAAUAAGGACCGGCUAAUUCCGUGCCAGCCGCCGCCGUAA
Molecule: ribosomal RNA, 508 nt
Filed under: uncultured bacterium
Lineage: Bacteria
Description: partial 16S ribosomal RNA
Rfam family: Bacterial small subunit ribosomal RNA
Source: RNAcentral